UACAUGUGAUUAGUAUUUUAUAUAAAUGUGCUUUAUUAGCAACCCAGUAUUUUAACACUGACACAUACCCUGUACAAAUGUGGCCUACUGGGAGCUGCCAUUUCCACCAGGGUCUGAUGAGACGCCCCCUUCCUUCCAUUAAGGGAUGACCUUCAUUACUGCAGAGGCCCGGUAGUGGACUCCUGUGUGGGAGGACCCCUUCCUGUCUUCAUUUCAUCUUUUUCCCUGUUGGUUACAAGCAAUGUCAACGCCGUGUCAUUGUGCUUUCAUAUACUGAUAUCAUCCCAAAAUAGACUGAAGCAGUAAAGCCUUGUGCUUGUUGCACCUGAGGACCUCGUACCUGCAACAAGGGAUGCCCAGUGAUUGAGGGAAUAGGGGGGCGGGUACCUCCUCAGAAAUCAUUCCCAAGGUGCUCAGGAGCCAUAUGUACAAGGUGCCAGUUCCAGCCCAGAUUGGCUGUCCCUCUGUGCCGCGGCCGCCAGGGAUUGGCAGGCCCAAGACGCCGGGCUUCUUAGCGCCCGGGGUUUCCAGGUGGCGCCGGGGGUCGGAGCUGGCAGCGGAGCCUCGUCCCUCCACUUUCUUUGUCAAGCGUUGUGUGUGUUGAAUGUUCCAGUAAUGUGAACUUAGACUUUUUUCUCGUUUAUGCUGUAGAUGUUCGGGGUCGUCGUUAGCAUUGGUAGCUAAUUAGUCUGCGUUAGCUUAGCAGUUUGCUAAAGCGGCCUUGUUUUGUGUAGCUUGACCGCCUACAAGACAAUGUACCUUGUAAAUAGUUAAGACCACUAAACUCUUGAAGCAGUAGGGGUGAAUCGCCAUUUCUUUUUGUACACUGUUUUCUCCUGUUUUUGUUACCAUGGGGAGUUAAGUUUAGAAAAUGUCUUUUGUUUACUCUUCUGUUUGAUUAGGGAUUAGUUAGGAAAUAGUUGUUUUUUUGUUUAUUAUUUUGGCCUUGAUUCACCCUGAAGCUCAGCUUCAUUCAUUGAAAAUUAAGUCAUUCCACGAGGAAUACAGUCUUGUCACAUUUUUUUGUCAUACUGCUUGUUUGUGGUAGCAAUAAAUUGCUUUGUUUUGCA
Thunnus maccoyii (southern bluefin tuna) is the source of this 1070-nucleotide long non-coding RNA. RefSeq lists it as uncharacterized. NCBI's taxonomy places the organism in Eukaryota, Metazoa, Chordata, Actinopteri, Scombriformes, Scombridae. The transcript has 2 exons. The record is from RefSeq and is a predicted model, not a curated record.